RNAcentral lists this transfer RNA (75 nucleotides) under Actinocatenispora rupis. RNAcentral's name for it is "tRNA-Lys". It matches the Rfam family "tRNA". From Rfam's summary of the family: Transfer RNA (tRNA) molecules are approximately 80 nucleotides in length. Their secondary structure includes four short double-helical elements and three loops (D, anti-codon, and T loops). The record is from RNAcentral. Lineage: Bacteria; Bacillati; Actinomycetota; Actinomycetes; Micromonosporales; Micromonosporaceae.
GCCUCCGUAGCUCAGAUGGUCAGAGCUGCCGUCUCUUAAACGGAAGGCCGCUGGUUCGAAUCCAGCCGGGGGCAC